This is a long non-coding RNA of Brienomyrus brachyistius, 1962 nucleotides long. RefSeq lists it as uncharacterized. Lineage: Eukaryota; Metazoa; Chordata; Actinopteri; Osteoglossiformes; Mormyridae. The record is from RefSeq and is a predicted model, not a curated record. The transcript is spliced from 2 exons.
UAAUAUUAUUUUUUGAAGACUUCUAGAAUAGAUUUACAUGCUUCAGUGUUCCACAAACACGUCAUUUUUCUUAUGUUGUACAUAUCUAUUCACUCUGUCGACAACUCUGUCUAAAAUGCUCUGUGCUUUAAACCCCACCCCUGAUGAUGCCAGUGUGUUCUGAUUGGUCCGCUUACCCUUUAUGUUCUGCCGCCAUCUUGCAUUCUGUAGACGGAUCCUUGCUGGUAGGCGGUCAAUAAGGAUUGUGUUAUGAGGUGACCUCACCAUGUCGUGGAAGUAGAGAAUGGAAUUCCUACCAGGCGUUUCAGUCAGAUUAGACGAGUGGUUUCUGAGAGGGAAAACGCGAAAAACAUAACAGGUCCCCUUUAAAGCACCAAUGCGUGAACUGAUUCUCAUAAGUACAGUGCUGAUCUUGCCAAUUGUCUGCGGCUAGGGAGGAGUAGGACGAGGUAAGGAGUGUGCACUGAUUACAGCGCGUUACCGCACCCACCACCUCAGGGAUGAGAACCUGAGUGCAGUCAUGCAGGUGCAGCCAUGCAGAUGCAGCCAGUCAUACCUCAGCACCACACUAGUCCAAAUGGACCAGCCUGAGGUGUUUUCCAGUGGCUGGAGUGCCGAUCCUACCAGCAACCCCCACAUUAUCCCUGUAAGUUGGUGGACCUCCUUAUUGGGCUGGAUGUAGGUUUAACGUCAUACCCAGGAUGAAGCAAUUGCAGGUUAAGUGCCUUGCUCUAGGGCCCAACAGAGUAGAAUCACUCUGGGCAUUCACAGGAUUUGAACUAGCAACCUUCCAGUUACUGGCAGAGAUCCCGAGCCUCAGAGCCACCAGGGGAGUGUGAUCUCUUAGAAAAGUUUCUAAUGAGGGGUGUGGAACGAAAUGGGACUAAACAGUGGGGUGUUUGUGUAUUAGACCUCCGAGCUCUUUGAGUGGAGUGUCAGGGCCAUGCUUAGGAAUGACUGGCUACGCAGCAGUUAAAGAAUGGGCCAGAGUUUUAUGGGGCAGAAUAUUAACCAGGCCUCUCUGCUUCUGUAAGGGUUUGUCUCUGCCUCUUUCAUGGUUACCUCCUUCACAUCCUUUUCAUAACUCCUGCACUAUUAAAAAUGGCGACAGUAUUGGUGAUGAAACAUGUUGGGUGUCUCAUUACAUCAUCAACACGUGGUCGAAUGUAUCAGUCAUGAUGAUUUGGAUUCUGGAGGCUGAAAGAGGCCCUUGAUGUAUGAAUGCCCCAUUAAAACUGAAUGGAUUUUUAUGGGCUUCUAGUUUUAUAUUCAGAGUAUUAACAUAUUCCCCUCUGACAGAUGGGGAUUGUUUGGUCAGCUGAUCUGUGGGCCUUUCAAUGGAAAUCUUUGUCAUCGUGGAAUGUAAUCUGAAUUUAAUAUUUUUUUAGAAAUAUCAGAACCGCAGCAUUUUUGACGCAUCCAUUAUCGCAAUAAAACGUGUGCAAUUACGGCUUUGUUGCCCAGCAGUACAGUGGCGGAAGUACAGACCUGAAUACAGCCCAAUUGUAUAUGCAGUGGUCAGUGGCGUCACGACAAAACUCUGAUUGGGGUGGUCAUCAGGGGCCAGUUGUACUCAUGGGGGUGGCCGCAAUGCACCCUCUCUCUUCUAUGGAACCACUUAGGUAAUAUGGAUUUCCUUUUUAAAAUUUUGACAUUGGAUGACAACAGCGGUGGCCACAAAUUUAUUUGUGGUGGCCAUGACCACCCCUGCCCCCCCUUUAGACCCCCUCCCCAGGUAAUCCAUGAGGGCUUGAUGGGGAUUAUAGAAUGGCAUGAAUCUAAUACUGACCAGGAGGAAAAAACAAUCGUUUUCUUAAUGUAAUUUUUAUUCCAGUUUAGCGUAACUGAGUUGUUUUGUUCUUUUUUUUUUAAUCGCCAUAGCAACAUUUGAACGGUAAGCGUUGUUUAUGCUGGGAGCUGAGUGUGUAAUUGUACGGCUUGUGUGUGGUUACGGCUCGUACA